AUUUUUGAUUCAUUGAUGAAACUUUGAAUAAGAAAAUCUCUUUGUUCUUACAUUAAAGGGAACAUUGUGACCUGCUUUGAUCCUAAAUCUUACAUACUCACUCCAAACAAGCUAAGGAUGUUCUUGAAAGCAACCAGCUAUUCACAUUUGAUACAGCCAUACAGAAGACGGACAAAUAGCAAGCAGGCAUGAAAGCCGACAGUGCCUAGCAUAAGGAAGACACCAUAACUAACACAAGCCAUAUAUCCAAAGAAGAACGAGGUUUGCAUGAAACCGUUCAUGUCUGACCGUGAAAAGUAGUAGUACAUGGAAUAACCAAAUAAGUACAAGCCAG
RNAcentral lists this unclassified non-coding RNA (334 nucleotides) under Hevea brasiliensis (rubber tree). The record is from RNAcentral. Lineage: Eukaryota; Viridiplantae; Streptophyta; Magnoliopsida; Malpighiales; Euphorbiaceae.